This 1544-nucleotide ribosomal RNA is filed under the name Salmonella enterica subsp. enterica serovar Infantis. RNAcentral describes it as "bacterial SSU rRNA". It matches the Rfam family "Bacterial small subunit ribosomal RNA". Lineage: Bacteria; Pseudomonadati; Pseudomonadota; Gammaproteobacteria; Enterobacterales; Enterobacteriaceae. The record is from RNAcentral.
AAAUUGAAGAGUUUGAUCAUGGCUCAGAUUGAACGCUGGCGGCAGGCCUAACACAUGCAAGUCGAACGGUAACAGGAAGCAGCUUGCUGCUUUGCUGACGAGUGGCGGACGGGUGAGUAAUGUCUGGGAAACUGCCUGAUGGAGGGGGAUAACUACUGGAAACGGUGGCUAAUACCGCAUAACGUCGCAAGACCAAAGAGGGGGACCUUCGGGCCUCUUGCCAUCAGAUGUGCCCAGAUGGGAUUAGCUUGUUGGUGAGGUAACGGCUCACCAAGGCGACGAUCCCUAGCUGGUCUGAGAGGAUGACCAGCCACACUGGAACUGAGACACGGUCCAGACUCCUACGGGAGGCAGCAGUGGGGAAUAUUGCACAAUGGGCGCAAGCCUGAUGCAGCCAUGCCGCGUGUAUGAAGAAGGCCUUCGGGUUGUAAAAGUACUUUCAGCGGGGAGGAAGGUGUUGUGGUUAAUAACCGCAGCAAUUGACGUUACCCGCAGAAGAAGCACUCGGCUAACUCCGUGCCAGCAGCCGCGGUAAUACGGAGGGUGCAAGCGUUAAUCGGAAUUACUGGGCGUAAAGCGCACGCAGGCGGUCUGUCAAGUCGGAUGUGAAAUCCCCGGGCUCAACCUGGGAACUGCAUUCGAAACUGGCAGGCUUGAGUCUUGUAGAGGGGGGUAGAAUUCCAGGUGUAGCGGUGAAAUGCGUAGAGAUCUGGAGGAAUACCGGUGGCGAAGGCGGCCCCCUGGACAAAGACUGACGCUCAGGUGCGAAAGCGUGGGGAGCAAACAGGAUUAGAUACCCUGGUAGUCCACGCCGUAAACGAUGUCUACUUGGAGGUUGUGCCCUUGAGGCGUGGCUUCCGGAGCUAACGCGUUAAGUAGACCGCCUGGGGAGUACGGCCGCAAGGUUAAAACUCAAAUGAAUUGACGGGGGCCCGCACAAGCGGUGGAGCAUGUGGUUUAAUUCGAUGCAACGCGAAGAACCUUACCUGGUCUUGACAUCCACAGAAGAAUCCAGAGAUGGAUUUGUGCCUUCGGGAACUGUGAGACAGGUGCUGCAUGGCUGUCGUCAGCUCGUGUUGUGAAAUGUUGGGUUAAGUCCCGCAACGAGCGCAACCCUUAUCCUUUGUUGCCAGCGGUCCGGCCGGGAACUCAAAGGAGACUGCCAGUGAUAAACUGGAGGAAGGUGGGGAUGACGUCAAGUCAUCAUGGCCCUUACGACCAGGGCUACACACGUGCUACAAUGGCGCAUACAAAGAGAAGCGACCUCGCGAGAGCAAGCGGACCUCAUAAAGUGCGUCGUAGUCCGGAUUGGAGUCUGCAACUCGACUCCAUGAAGUCGGAAUCGCUAGUAAUCGUGGAUCAGAAUGCCACGGUGAAUACGUUCCCGGGCCUUGUACACACCGCCCGUCACACCAUGGGAGUGGGUUGCAAAAGAAGUAGGUAGCUUAACCUUCGGGAGGGCGCUUACCACUUUGUGAUUCAUGACUGGGGUGAAGUCGUAACAAGGUAACCGUAGGGGAACCUGCGGUUGGAUCACCUCCUUA